AGUGAACGCUGGCGGCAGGCCUAACACAUGCAAGUCGAACGGCAGCACAGGGGAGCUUGCUCCCUGGGUGGCGAGUGGCGGACGGGUGAGGAAUACAUCGGAAUCUACCCUUUCGUGGGGGAUAACGUAGGGAAACUUACGCUAAUACCGCAUACGAUCUGAGGAUGAAAGCAGGGGACCGCAAGGCCUUGCGCGAUUGGAUGAGCCGAUGUCCGAUUAGCUAGUUGGCGGGGUAAAGGCCCACCAAGGCGACGAUCGGUAGCUGGUCUGAGAGGAUGAUCAGCCACACUGGAACUGAGACACGGUCCAGACUCCUACGGGAGUCAGCAGUGGGGAAUAUUGGACAAUGGGCGCAAGCCUGAUCCAGCCAUGCCGCGUGUGUGAAGAAGGCCUUCGGGUUGUAAAGCACUUUUGUUGGGAAAGAAAUCCUGUCGGCUAAUACCCGGCUGGGAUGACGGUACCCAAAGAAUAAGCACCGGCUAACUUCGUGCCAGCCGCCGCGGUAA
Molecule: ribosomal RNA, 506 nt
Filed under: uncultured bacterium
Lineage: Bacteria
Description: partial 16S ribosomal RNA
Rfam family: Bacterial small subunit ribosomal RNA
Source: RNAcentral